GAUGAACGCUGGCGGCGUGCCUAAUACAUGCAAGUCGAGCGAACAGACGAGGAGCUUGCUCCUCUGACGUUAGCGGCGGACGGGUGAGUAACACGUGGAUAACCUACCUAUAAGACUGGGAUAACUUCGGGAAACCGGAGCUAAUACCGGAUAACAUGUUGAACCGCAUGGUUCAACAGUGAAAGACGGUCUUGCUGUCACUUAUAGAUGGAUCCGCGCCGCAUUAGCUAGUUGGUAAGGUAACGGCUUACCAAGGCAACGAUGCGUAGCCGACCUGAGAGGGUGAUCGGCCACACUGGAACUGAGACCCGGUCCAGACCCCUACGGGAGGCAGCAGUAGGGAAUCUUCCGCAAUGGGCGAAAGCCUGACGGAGCAACGCCGCGUGAGUGAAGAAGGUCUUCGGAUCGUAAAACUCUGUUAUUAGGGAAGAACAAAUGUGUAAGUAACUAUGCACGUCUUGACGGUACCUAAUCAGAAAGCCACGGCUAACUACGUG
RNAcentral lists this ribosomal RNA (497 nucleotides) under uncultured bacterium. Its description in RNAcentral is "partial 16S ribosomal RNA". It matches the Rfam family "Bacterial small subunit ribosomal RNA", at positions 28 to 507 of the family's 1533-position model. The record is from RNAcentral.